UACGAAGGGGGCUAGCGUUGUUCGGAAUCACUGGGCGUAAAGCGCACGUAGGCGGAUUGUUAAGUCGGGGGUGAAAUCCUGAGGCUCAACCUCAGAACUGCCUUCGAUACUGGCAAUCUCGAGUCCGGAAGAGGUUGGUGGAACAGCUAGUGUAGAGGUGAAAUUCGUAGAUAUUCGCAAGAACACCAGUGGCGAAGGCGGCUUACUGGUCCGGUUCUGACGCUGAGGCGCGAAAGCGUGGGGAGCAAACAGG
RNAcentral lists this ribosomal RNA (253 nucleotides) under uncultured bacterium. Its description in RNAcentral is "partial 16S ribosomal RNA". It matches the Rfam family "Bacterial small subunit ribosomal RNA", at positions 524 to 776 of the family's 1533-position model. The record is from RNAcentral.